Molecule: non-coding RNA, 26 nt
Filed under: Homo sapiens (human)
Lineage: Eukaryota; Metazoa; Chordata; Mammalia; Primates; Hominidae
Source: RNAcentral
UCUAGGUGUGUGCGACCAUGGAAUGG